UGACGAGGCACUACGGUGCUGAAGCAACAAAUGCCCUGCUUCCAGGAAAAGCCUCUAAGCAUCAGGUAACAUCAAAUCGUACCCCAAACCGACACAGGUGGUCAGGUAGAGAAUACCAAGGCGCUUGAGAGAACUCGGGUGAAGGAACUAGGCAAAAUGGUGCCGUAACUUCGGGAGAAGGCACGCUGAUAUGUAGGUGAAGUCCCUCGCGGAUGGAGCUGAAAUCAGUCGAAGAUACCAGCUGGCUGCAACUGUUUAUUAAAAACACAGCACUGUGCAAACACGAAAGUGGACGUAUACGGUGUGACGCCUGCCCGGUGCCGGAAGGUUAAUUGAUGGGGUCAGCGCAAGCGAAGCUCUUGAUCGAAGCCCCGGUAAACGGCGGCCGUAACUAUAACGGUCCUAAGGUAGCGAAAUUCCUUGUCGGGUAAGUUCCGACCUGCACGAAUGGCGUAAUGAUGGCCAGGCUGUCUCCACCCGAGACUCAGUGAAAUUGAACUCGCUGUGAAGAUGCAGUGUACCCGCGGCAAGACGGAAAGACCCCGUGAACCUUUACUAUAGCUUGACACUGAACAUUGAGCCUUGAUGUGUAGGAUAGGUGGGAGGCUUUGAAGUGUGGACGCCAGUCUGCAUGGAGCCGACCUUGAAAUACCACCCUUUAAUGUUUGAUGUUCUAACGUGGACCCGUGAUCCGGGUUGCGGACAGUGUCUGGUGGGUAGUUUGACUGGGGCGGUCUCCUCCUAAAGAGUAACGGAGGAGCACGAAGGUUGGCUAAUCCUGGUCGGACAUCAGGAGGUUAGUGCAAUGGCAUAAGCCAGCUUGACUGCGAGCGUGACGGCGCGAGCAGGUGCGAAAGCAGGUCAUAGUGAUCCGGUGGUUCUGAAUGGAAGGGCCAUCGCUCAACGGAUAAAAGGUACUCCGGGGAUAACAGGCUGAUACCGCCCAAGAGUUCAUAUCGACGGCGGUGUUUGGCACCUCGAUGUCGGCUCAUCACAUCCUGGGGCUGAAGUAGGUCCCAAGGGUAUGGCUGUUCGCCAUUUAAAGUGGUACGCGAGCUGGGUUUAGAACGUCGUGAGACAGUUCGGUCCCUAUCUGCCGUGGGCGCUGGAGAACUGAGGGGGGCUGCUCCUAGUACGAGAGGACCGGAGUGGACGCAUCACUGGUGUUCGGGUUGUCAUGCCAAUGGCACUGCCCGGUAGCUAAAUGCGGAAGAGAUAAGUGCUGAAAGCAUCUAAGCACGAAACUUGCCCCGAGAUGAGUUCUCCCUGACCCUUUAAGGGUCCUGAAGGAACGUUGAAGACGACGACGUUGAUAGGCCGGGUGUGUAAGCGCAGCGAUGCGUUGAGCUAACCGGUACUAAUGAACCGUGAGGCUUAACCUU
This 1382-nucleotide ribosomal RNA is filed under the name Escherichia coli. RNAcentral describes it as "partial 23S ribosomal RNA". It matches the Rfam family "Bacterial large subunit ribosomal RNA", at positions 1567 to 2925 of the family's 2925-position model. The record is from RNAcentral. Lineage: Bacteria; Pseudomonadati; Pseudomonadota; Gammaproteobacteria; Enterobacterales; Enterobacteriaceae.